This 550-nucleotide ribosomal RNA is filed under the name Bacillus altitudinis. RNAcentral describes it as "bacterial SSU rRNA". It matches the Rfam family "Bacterial small subunit ribosomal RNA", at positions 215 to 757 of the family's 1533-position model. The record is from RNAcentral. Lineage: Bacteria; Bacillati; Bacillota; Bacilli; Caryophanales; Bacillaceae.
UCACUUACAGAUGGACCCGCGGCGCAUUAGCUAGUUGGUGAGGUAACGGCUCACCAAGGCGACGAUGCGUAGCCGACCUGAGAGGGUGAUCGGCCACACUGGGACUGAGACACGGCCCAGACUCCUACGGGAGGCAGCAGUAGGGAAUCUUCCGCAAUGGACGAAAGUCUGACGGAGCAACGCCGCGUGAGUGAUGAAGGUUUUCGGAUCGUAAAGCUCUGUUGUUAGGGAAGAACAAGUGCAAGAGUAACUGCUUGCACCUUGACGGUACCUAACCAGAAAGCCACGGCUAACUACGUGCCAGCAGCCGCGGUAAUACGUAGGUGGCAAGCGUUGUCCGGAAUUAUUGGGCGUAAAGGGCUCGCAGGCGGUUUCUUAAGUCUGAUGUGAAAGCCCCCGGCUCAUCCGGGGAGGGUCAUUGGAAACUGGGAAACUUGAGUGCAGAAGAGGAGAGUGGAAUUCCACGUGUAGCGUGAAAUGCGUAGAGAUGUGGAGGAACACCAGUGGCGAAGGCGACUCUCUGGGUCUGUAUCUGACGCUGAGGAGCGAA